GAUAAUGGCUUUUACAGCUUCCUCCUCUAACACAGAUGUUCACUGGAGUGAAGUAAACCAAAGGUCAUACACUGUGGAAUGCUUACUGCAAGAAUUUCCAUCACACUGACCUUGAAAUGGAAAUGGCCGAUAUAGUUGACAAAGAUUUAUGGGUGUCCAAGUUCAAAAGUCUGACAGCUGAGCUUGAACACAUCACUCGCCAGAAAGCCCAGCUCGCCCAAAGUCACAAAUGGAGCGAAAUUGAAAGCCUCCCAACAACCGAGAAACUUGUGUUUGACACAUGGAAUGCUCUUCCUGACAGUUAUAGAAACAUGAAGAAGUAUGCAUUUGGAGUAUUAUCCAUCUUUGGAUCAACAUACCUGUGCGAGCAGAUAUUCUCAAACCCAAACUACAUCAAAUCCAAAUACCGCACCCGCCUUACAGAUGAAAGCUUGUAGUCUUGCGUGAAGAUUAAAGUUACAUCUUACAUGCCCGAUGUUGAGAAGCUGUCCAGUGAUGUCCAAAAAAAGAAGUCACAUUAAACGGGUCCAGGAUGGCUGCGUUGUAUUGUGCGUGUCAAAAAAGAAGAGGAUGCUGCUGCGUUUUACCCUUGCACUGACAUACAGGUCCUUCUCAAAAUAUUAGCAUAUUGUGAUAAAGUUCAUUAUU
This is a long non-coding RNA of Girardinichthys multiradiatus, 648 nucleotides long. RefSeq lists it as uncharacterized. The record is from RefSeq and is a predicted model, not a curated record. The transcript is spliced from 2 exons. Lineage: Eukaryota; Metazoa; Chordata; Actinopteri; Cyprinodontiformes; Goodeidae.